Molecule: long non-coding RNA, 6251 nt
Organism: Apis cerana (Asiatic honeybee)
Lineage: Eukaryota; Metazoa; Arthropoda; Insecta; Hymenoptera; Apidae
Source: RefSeq, a predicted model, not a curated record
UAAAAUUCUAUCUCUCGAUCUUUUUGUUAUAAUGUUCAGGGUUGAUAGAUUUUCAAAAAUCGUGUCGCUCACUUUUAUGAAAGCUCGAGCGAACCGUCGGCACGUGCCUCGAACUUCCAUUCGAGCAAAUCAAUCUAAAAAUCGAGGAGAACAAAAUCUCUUUGCAGAAUCCAAUGAUCGUUAUUCGUCCGACGGUGAUCCAAUCGGAAGGAUAUCUUAAUGAUAAAAGUUGUUUUAUGUAUAAUACAAAUCGAUAAUCGAUUCUCUCAAAUCUUUUUAUCUAUUUCUUAACGUUUCUAUUCGAGAGUGGAACAAUUGCCAAGUUGCUUCAAAUUUUUAAUUACGAAAUAUUCGUAAUACCUUAAAUUUAAUUUAUUGAUUAUUUUAAAUUAAAUUUAUUUUUAAAAAGAACUAGAUAUCAAUAAAUUCAGCAUUCAAUUUCUAAAUUGAACUCUCUUAUUUUCGAUAAUAUUAAAUUUUGAAAAUAAUUUAAAUCAACCCUGAUACAAAACGUGCAAAUUUAUAUCUUAGUUUUUUCCAUUUAAUUUCCCUUCCAACAAUUAUUAUCCAUCUUGCAUUACUAUUUUCAAUACAAUUCACUCUAGUCAUAAUUAAUCCCGUAGAAUCCAUGGGAUUAAUCCUACGGGAAUUCGAACGUAAAAACGGGAACCAACGAAAACAACGAUCCCUCUCCACGACUAUUAUUAAAAAUUAAAAAUAUUAUUAAAAUCAAAUUCAACAAUACGCUUCCCUCUCCCUCCCUCCGAAUCGUAAUUCAUUCGACCCGUCUCCCGUAUCGCAUCGCGCUAGGCUGACCACCGCUGCCAUCUGUGGAUGGCCGAUCUGACCACCAGUGUUAAAUUACCGCUUCACAUUAUUAUAUAAACCCGUAACCGGGUUUCUCGAUCGCGCGAAAACGAGGCCGUUACCUCGCCUCGUAAUUAAACCGCCUUCCUUUACCGUUGCUUGUACACAUCGAGAAAAGUGAAGAGGGAGGAUGGAAAAUGUGCGUGUGUGCGUGUGCAAGCGCUUUAAUCGCGCUUGUCCGACCGGAUCCCUUUUCCAGGGAUCUCUCGUUGAGUAUUGAUCCUCGAAUAAGAGAAGCGAAAGCCUUUACGGCCAAGGGAUUAAAUAGGAGAGUUUAAAUCGCGAUUCGGGAGGAGGAGGAGGAGGGAGAGGGAUGGUGGAAGAAGAGGAAGUUGUUUUUUUUUGGAAUUAGAGAGGAGAGCAAGGAUUUAUAAGAGAGUCGUUAUCCUUGUUUACACGCACACUUUGUACAUGUAUAUUCGUGCGAUUACGAUGCGAAGCAAAUUUAAUGGGCAAAUUUAAGAGGGAAGAAUCGUAAUUUUAUUUUUAUUUCGAUAAUUGGUUAAUUCUAACGAUUUUUAAUGCUUCGUUGAAUUUUAGCAAAGUGGAAGAAAUAGAGAGCAUUCAUUCGUUUGUACGUACUAUUAUGAAAAGAUGAUCGUUUUGAUUUUCAUGAAUAUUAUUCGCGUAAAUAACGAUACUUAAUAAGCGUAUUACCAUUUUAACAAUUUAAUUAUACAAGUGGAUAAUAACGGAUCGGAACGAUCAAGUUCUCAUCAAAUUUCCUAUUUCACCUACGCACAUACUCAUCAAUUCUCAUUCUGUUUCCAAAACCCGAGGUCAGGGAAUUACAAACAGUUCGUACGCGAUAUAACAAAUGUUUUCCUCACUUAAUACGCUCCUCGUCCAUUACGAACAUCUCGUUACAAAACAUAACACGUAAUUGUUAGCGAAUCUUUCACCAAACAAUCGACGACGGGAGGGGGGAGGAGGGGGGAUCCGUGUCAACGCUUAAAUUCGUAUCCGUGUGCGUAUUAUUUACACUCGUCUCGUAUGAACGAUUUUCGUACGAGGCGGCGAUGUUUCGAAACACGAAGCAUCGCUUCUCUCGGCGACGCACGUUCCGCCUCAGUUCUGCCGCCAUUGAGACAGCUGCCAUUUUCGGUGCGCGCUAUGCCUGUUAACUUUUCGUGCACAGCCUCGGUUGGAAGUGACUGAAAUCGGUUGUUGGACGAGAAUGUUGGAAGAGCGUGGCUAUAUUACUUGGUUUACCCAUUUUUGUACUCCGUGAUACGUGUAACGUGGGUCAACCAACAAUAUCGAACAUGUACGUUCGCACAAUUUAAACUCGUAAUACAGUGUAAUAUUGUAAGAAAGGUCACUUUGGGAACGUAAUGGCGUCAACUGUCUUCAAACAAAGCUCUAUCAAACAGUCAGCAACGAAGUCAAACAUGUAGAAUCACGCUUUAAAGAUCUAUAAAGAUCUCAACGCAGCAUGAUAUGUAGCUAACAGAGAUCACUUUGAGGAAAUAUUGGAGUUAAUCAACGUUUUCUUUCGCUUCAAACCAACUUCAACUUGAAGAGAUAUUCCCAUAAUUCACAUUUAUGAAAAUCGUAAUACUUUAGCUAAUAAUGCCACUUUAGAAAACGCAUGCGUAAAAGUUUAUCAAUGUUAUCCUCCAAUUCAAACGGACUUCAACCUCGUUCAAGAGGCCAAUCAACGACAUCAAACACGUUUCAACUUCGUUCAAAGGGUGCCAACCAACGACAUCAAAUCCGUGCAAAUCCUCCAUCUCCGCCAAGCGAAGCAAACUUCGUUAACCACGUGAUUCGACCGCCACUUCAAAAUCGUCUAGAACUACAAUUUACGAGCAGCGCGUGCAUACGAUGCUGAUAAACGCGACUCCCUUUAAUGACCCAUUCCUAGUCCACCCUGAUGGGCCUCAUCGCCUUCUCCUUCCCACUUUCUUUCCCCCCCCCUAUCUUUAUGCAGAUGGCGGAGACCGCGGUUAAUUUCCAACCUCCUGGAUGGCCUCGUUCAUUCUAAUUUCCCCUCGAACGUCCCUGAUUGGAGUCCACAACGAUUUGCACGUUGCACCUGUAUCCACGUGUUUCACUUCGAGGAAUAAUAUAUCCGAGUAAAAAAAUUUUUUAUUUUUUCCGGCUAUUGUUGCGGAUGCAUUCUUCCUGCUCGAUGAAAAGAAUUCCAUGGUUCGAUUAUUGUUAUUGUUAUCGAAAAGAUGAUACGUACGUUUCUUGGAAUAAGAAAAUGUGAUACGGAAUUUAUUAUUCCAGGAAUGUGGCACGUGCCGCGUUUGAAAACAUUCUGUUUAUUAUACGAGUGUAAUAAAUGGAACUAUAAAUUUGAAAUUUUGGUUAUGGGGAUAUGUUUACUUGAAAAUGUAAUACAAGAAGAUAUAUAUAUAUAUAUAUUAUUCUAUAUUGUGUGAAACUUGGAUAGAUUGUUCUGUAUUAUGUGGGUCACUUGUUUCCAAAAUGGGAGAUAUAUUCCACAGUUGAAUAUUUUAUUAGGUGAAAUAGAUGGAAGAUCUUGAUGCUUUUCUAUCAUAUUGCGAAUGAUGAAUAUAAUAGUAACGUACCGUGUCUAAAAAAUAAUUCAGGGAAUAAUUUAUUUUCAAAAAAGAAAUUUAUUAAUUGUGCAGAAAAUUUCUAACGUUUAAUCCAGGAAAAAAAGAAAAACUCAAUUUCACCGACAAGAGAAAAGCAUUAAAAUAGAAACAUUAUUCCUGAGAAAGUUGGCAUUCCCACUGACUCGAUUAAUUUUCUUCUCAAGGAUCCAAAGAGUUAUUAUUUUUCUGCCACACCUGCACCACUGCUUUCCAAAAAGAAACAAAAAAUCGUUAAGAGCAAAGCGUUUAACGAAGGAGAACGAUACAUGGAAAAGUAAACGAGAGGAUCGAGAACAGCGAAUCUCGAUUCUCCUUCGAAGAUGUAGGUGGAGUCAAGAGAGAGGAGUAGAUUAUCUUGCCAGACGGUGAAAUGGCAAAGUUCUACGUGUCGGAGAGCAAAGACGAGGCUGGAGAAUAUUAUCCGUGAGAGGAAAAGAGAAAGAAAUCUAACUCUAAUUUUGAAGGCAGAAUAGAAAAAGAUGGAAAGAGAAAGGAGACUUUUUUAAAUGAAAAGAAGAAAAAAGAAAGCUGUUCUAUUUUAAAAGUAAAAAAAGGAAAAAGAUGAGGGGAGAAAAGGUAAAAAAAGAGAGAGAGAGAGAAAGAGAAAGCUUUCUACGCCUUGGUUUGGGAAGCUGCAGACACAGCUGUGCCAGAACUGCAAUGACACGCCCCCUCACCCCAAUCUCUCCUCCUCUAUAGGUUCGUCUCUUUUCUUCCACCCUCCAGACGACGACCAGGGUAGGUUCUCUCUCUCUCUCUCUGGUGUUCUGGCUAGCGAGGUCGAUUCGGAUCCUUGUCAAGAGUUUUCUCUGAUAGUGAGGGAGGAAUACAUGUGCACAAGUUAUUGUCCAUGAGUAUCUUUGAACUUGGUAAAAUGGGAUUAGAAAAACUUAGAUUUUCGUCGAGUAAUUAUUAAUUCUCAAAUAUUUUGUUGAUACGUCCACAACUGUUUAACUCAUUUAAAAUUGACUUAUAUUUUUCAAUUACUUUAAACAAUUCUUAUAUUUUUGUCAUUUUAUAUCUAUACAUGUCGUUUCAACAAUAUUUUCUUUCAACAAAGUGAAUACUUAUAGAUGAUAAUAUGUUUUAACUCGACUAAUAUUCCUAUUACGUUCCCGAAAUAAACCUAACCAUAUUUUUAUCUACCUUAAAAAAAGUAAACAAAAAAAUUCGACACAAGAUUAAUCUCAACAAUUACUCCAUCUCGUUUCAAAAAUUUCUCCAACUUGCUGGAAACACCCUCCAGUCCACUCCGCACAUUUCUCCCAACGCCAUAUAUUCCUCCUAGCCAGGUCCACUCUGGAGCGUCUGGGACCCGAACGAUCUCGCCCCAACACAGCCAACCCUCCAACCAACACACAACACCGACUCUGCAUCUCCGUGGUGACGAUACCCAGAACAGCGGUGGUGGAGCUCGGCGGUGGUCCUUCACCCCUCUGCUCGCCAGCAUCACGCAUCAGAUCGAUACGCGGCCGUUGCCUUCGCCUCUCUCUCUCUCUCUCUUCCCCCUCUCUCUUCCUUCCCCUCCUCUUGCCACCUCCAAAGGAUCUCGAUUCGCGUAAUCGCGCCUCUUCCCAACGAUUGCGGCCACUGCUGCACAGACGAUCGUUUCGAAGGGGCCAGCUGCCGCUGCCGGGGAAAAUUACGCUUGGAGAAUUUCGCGCGGAAGAGAGAAGGAAGGAGAGGUGGAGGCGGCGAUGCGUGCAUUGUUGGAGAGAAAUUGGUAUUCUUUUUGAUGCGGAAGGUGUCGGUUAUUGGAUGGCUCGAGAGUUUUUGGCGGGGUUCCAAGUUUUAUUUGGAGGAAUGAAUCGAGAAGGGGAUUGGAUAUGUAUGGGCGAUGACUGAAUCGAUGGCAGUUGAUUGAAAGAUGGAAAGUUUUUUUUUUUGAUUGAGAUCGGGGUGGAGGAUGAGCGAGUGACGAUAGACAGUUUUUUUUGGAAUGGAUAAUCAAUUUGUGGCGUUAACCUUUCAUUAAAAUCAAUAUACAUGAUAUUGUACGAAUUUAAUCUCGCGAGAGAUUAUAAUAAUAAUUUUAAUUUUAUCUCUCUCGUGUAAAAAUACCCGUGAUGAAAUAUUCAUUUUUCAAAUUCAAGUUUAUAUAAAGAGAGAAAAAGAAAGGAGUUGAGAUGUCGCAUUAUUAUAGAAUUUCUUGUAAUUAAAAAUUUAACUAUGUGAUGUAAAAAAUGAUUGGAAAUGAUUGGAAGUACAGAUUGAGAAUCCAUGUUUUUUAAGAUAAGUUAGUCGAUAAGAGCCUCUUCGUUGUAUCGUUAACACGAUCAUUUUCAGAUACGUCGUAAACCAAAGUAGAUGAUAUCGUCGAUGAAUCAUUUCCAGCCAACAAUCUCGUCGCAAUAAAAUACAGACGAACGACAUUCUUCCUUUCAUCUUAAAAAUCUCUUUCCACUUCAUCUCCAUUACUUCGGUAUACGUAUCAAGGACCUGGAUGCAAGAACAGAUGCUGCUGUUGCUUUACAAGUGGCUGCUUCCGUGGCUGACCAAAACAAAUUCACUUUUUCCCGUAUAUAUUUCUGCCCCCAUUUUAUCCCUUAACACUCCUAUUUAAUCUUUAUGCAGGAUACUUUACGUUCAGAAAAUUUCUUCUAUUCGGAUAGUUCUGUUUAUACGAAUCUUACUUCUAAACGUUUUAUCAUUUUCAUGAGCAAAAAGAGGUAUUUGAUCCGGAAUAUUAAUGCUGACCAGCUCACCAAUUAUACCAUUUAAUAUACUGUAUUAUAUUAUCAACCGAUAUAUCGAAAGUAUAUCACAGAUUGUUAAAUAAUAUGAUAUGAUCAAUUAAAUAAAAUAAUUAGUAUA